CAGCCGCCGCGGUAAUACGGAGGGUGCAAGCGUUAUCCGGAAUCAUUGGGUUUAAAGGGUCCGCAGGCGGACUUAUAAGUCAGUGGUGAAAGCCUACAGCUUAACUGUAGAACUGCCAUUGAUACUGUAAGUCUUGAAUUCGGUCGAAGUGGGCGGAAUGUGACAUGUAGCGGUGAAAUGCUUAGAUAUGUCACAGAACACCGAUAGCGAAGGCAGCUCACUAGGCCUGAAUUGACGCUCAUGGACGAAAGCGUGGGGAGCAAACAGGAUUAGAUACCCUGGUAGUCCACGCCGUAAACUAUCAAUACUCGUUUUCAGCGAUAUACAGUUGGAGACUAAGCGAAAGUGAUAAGUAUUGCACCUGGGGAGUACGAUCGCAAGGUUGAAACUCAAAUGAAUUGACGG
RNAcentral lists this ribosomal RNA (405 nucleotides) under Bacteroidetes bacterium enrichment culture clone LiUU-17-795. RNAcentral describes it as "bacterial SSU rRNA". It matches the Rfam family "Bacterial small subunit ribosomal RNA", at positions 509 to 916 of the family's 1533-position model. Lineage: Bacteria; Pseudomonadati; Bacteroidota. The record is from RNAcentral.